CCUACGGGAGGCAGCAGUAGGGAAUUUUCGGCAAUGGGGGGAACCCUGACCGAGCAACGCCGCGUGAGUGAAGAAGUAUUUCGGUACGUAAAGCUCUAUCAGCAGGGAAGAAAAAAAGUCCUUUGGACUUUGGACGGUACCUAACCAAGAAGCCCCGGCUAACUACGUGCCAGCAGCCGCGGUAAUACGUAGGGGGCAAGCGUUAUCCGGAUUUACUGGGUGUAAAGGGAGCGUAGACGGCAGCGCAAGUCUGGAGUGAAAUGCCGGGGCCCAACCCCGGAACUGCUUUGGAAACUGUGCAGCUGGAGUGCAGGAGAGGUAAGCGGAAUUCCUAGUGUAGCGGUGAAAUGCGUAGAUAUUAGGAGGAACACCAGUGGCGAAGGCGGCUUACUGGACUGUAACUGACGUUGAGGCUCGAAAGCGUGGGGAGCAAACAGGAUUAGAUACCCGAGUAGUC
RNAcentral lists this ribosomal RNA (457 nucleotides) under uncultured bacterium. RNAcentral's name for it is "partial 16S ribosomal RNA". It matches the Rfam family "Bacterial small subunit ribosomal RNA", at positions 338 to 795 of the family's 1533-position model. The record is from RNAcentral.